RNAcentral lists this ribosomal RNA (156 nucleotides) under Filobasidium uniguttulatum. RNAcentral describes it as "5.8S ribosomal RNA". It matches the Rfam family "5.8S ribosomal RNA". Rfam says of the family: 5.8S ribosomal RNA (5.8S rRNA) is a component of the large subunit of the eukaryotic ribosome. It is transcribed by RNA polymerase I as part of the 45S precursor that also contains 18S and 28S rRNA. Functionally, it is thought that 5.8S rRNA may be involved in ribosome translocation. The record is from RNAcentral. Lineage: Eukaryota; Fungi; Basidiomycota; Tremellomycetes; Filobasidiales; Filobasidiaceae.
AAACUUUCAACAACGGAUCUCUUGGCUCUCGCAUCGAUGAAGAACGCAGCGAAAUGCGAUAAGUAAUGUGAAUUGCAGAAUUCAGUGNAUCAUCGAAUCUUUGAACGCACCUUGCGCUCCUUGGUAUUCCGAGGAGCAUGCCUGUUUGAGUGUCAU